CCUUCGAGAGUGGCGAACGGGUGAGUAAUAUAUCGGAACGUGCCCAGUCGUGGGGGAUAACGUAGAGAAAUUUACGCUAAUACCGCAUACGAUCUAAGGAUGAAAGCGGGGGACUUCGCAAGAGGCCUCGCGCGAUUGGAGCGGCUGAUAUCAGAUUAGCUUGUUGGUGAGGUAAAAGCUCACCAAGGCGACGAUCUGUAGCUGGUUUGAGAGAACGACCAGCCACACUGGGACUGAGACACGGCCCAGACUCCUACGGGAGGCAGCAGUGGGGAAUUUUGGACAAUGGGCGAAAGCCUGAUCCAGCAAUGCCGCGUGCAGGAAGAAGGCCUUCGGGUUGUAAACUGCUUUUGUACGGAACGAAAAGGCUCGCUUUAAUAAAGUGGGCCCAUGACGGUACCGUAAGAAUAAGCACCGGCUAACUACGUGCCAGCAGCCGCGGUAAUACGUAGGGUGCGAGCGUUAAUCGGAAUUACUGGGCGUAAAGCGUGCGCAGGCGGUGAUGUAAGACAGUUGUGAAAUCCCCGGGCUCAACCUGGGAAUUGCAUCUGUGACUGCAUCGCUAGAGUACGGUAGAGGGGGAUGGAAUUCCGCGUGUAGCAGUGAAAUGCGUAGAUAUGCGGAGGAACACCGAUGGCGAAGGCAAUCCCCUGG
Molecule: ribosomal RNA, 654 nt
Filed under: uncultured bacterium
Lineage: Bacteria
Description: bacterial SSU rRNA
Rfam family: Bacterial small subunit ribosomal RNA
Source: RNAcentral